Molecule: ribosomal RNA, 192 nt
Filed under: uncultured Staphylococcus sp.
Lineage: Bacteria; Bacillati; Bacillota; Bacilli; Caryophanales; Staphylococcaceae
Description: partial 16S ribosomal RNA
Rfam family: Bacterial small subunit ribosomal RNA
Source: RNAcentral
UUCGGGAAACCGGAGCUAAUACCGGAUAAUAUAUUGAACCGCAUGGUUCAAUAGUGAAAGACGGUUUUGCAGUCACUUAUAGAUGGAUCCGCGCCGCAUUAGCUAGUUGGUAAGGUAACGGCUUACCAAGGCAACGAUGCGUAGCCGACCUGAGAGGGUGAUCGGCCACACUGGAACUGAGACACGGUCCAG